GACGAACGCUGGCGGCGCGCCUAACACAUGCAAGUCGAACGAGCGAGAGAGAGCUUGCUUUCUCGAGCGAGUGGCGAACGGGUGAGUAACGCGUGAGGAACCUGCCUCAAAGAGGGGGACAACAGUUGGAAACGACUGCUAAUACCGCAUAAGCCCACGGGUCGGCAUCGACCAGGGGGAAAAGGAGUGAUCCGCUUUGAGAUGGCCUCGCGUCCGAUUAGCUAGUUGGCGGGGUAACGGCUCACCAAGGCAACGAUCCCUAGCUGGUCUGAGAGGAUGACCAGCCACACUGGAACUGAGACACGGUCCAGACUCCUACGGGAGGCAGCAGUGGGGAAUAUUGCACAAUGGGCGCAAGCCUGAUGCAGCCAUGCCGCGUGUAUGAAGAAGGCCUC
Molecule: ribosomal RNA, 395 nt
Filed under: uncultured bacterium
Lineage: Bacteria
Description: bacterial SSU rRNA
Rfam family: Bacterial small subunit ribosomal RNA
Source: RNAcentral